GUCAACUAUUGGGGGGAAAACAAAUACAAUAGUGAUGGCGCAUUCUCUUUGGAAACUAGUACUAAAUGCAUACCAAGAUAAUAACAAUGGGUCGAUUUUGUGAGGCACAUCUAAGGCAUUCUUGUUGUGUUUACUGGGCUUAAAGAUAGACGGUUCCGGGACAGGACUGGGGACAACAUUUUUACAACCUGCCACAGGAAACCCGCUUGUUGCUGCAGUUGAACAAAGGGUGAAGCGGGUAAAGCAUAUAGCUUCCGCCUGGAACGUCCUUCACCAUGUCCUCCGGAUGACUAAGAUGCGUGGCGUUAUUCAGCUCACAAGUCUCCGUAUUUAGGAAAAAGUUGAUGCUGUGGCACUGUGUCUUAGCGUCACACGCCAUCCAGCAAAGUGCUCUGGUGGAGCCCUCGAUCCGCUCGAUCACGUGAUUUGCUAGAAUAUUCUCACCUUGAUCCCUUUCUAAGUCGCACUGCUCGAGGGACGUCGCCUGUUGCCAUAGCGACAAGGUCGUCCAAACAAUGAGUGUCAUGAAACUGGGCAUCCUGGCAUAGAAAUAAACGGUUGAGCUUCGAUAGAUGUUUCAAUU
Nematostella vectensis (starlet sea anemone) is the source of this 583-nucleotide long non-coding RNA. RefSeq lists it as uncharacterized. Lineage: Eukaryota; Metazoa; Cnidaria; Anthozoa; Actiniaria; Edwardsiidae. The transcript is spliced from 3 exons. The record is from RefSeq and is a predicted model, not a curated record.